Molecule: ribosomal RNA, 253 nt
Filed under: uncultured bacterium
Lineage: Bacteria
Description: partial 16S ribosomal RNA
Rfam family: Bacterial small subunit ribosomal RNA
Source: RNAcentral
UACGUAGGGUGCGAGCGUUAAUCGGAAUUACUGGGCGUAAAGCGUGCGCAGGCGGUUCGUUAAGUCAGAUGUGAAAGCCCCGGGCUCAACCUGGGAACUGCAUUUGAAACUGGCGGGCUUGAGUGUGGCAGAGGGGGGUGGGAUUCCGCGUGUAGCAGUGAAAUGCGUAGAGAUGCGGAGGAACACCGAUGGCGAAGGCAGCCCCCUGGGCCAACACUGACGCUGAGAAGCGAAAGCAUGGGGAGCGAACAGG